UGGGGAAUAUUGCACAAUGGGCGAAAGCCUGAUGCAGCGACGCCGCGUGAGGGAUGAAGGCCUUCGGGUUGUAAACCUCUUUCAGCAGGGAAGAAGCGCAAGUGACGGUACCUGCAGAAGAAGCGCCGGCUAACUACGUGCCAGCAGCCGCGGUAAUACGUAGGGCGCAAGCGUUGUCCGGAAUUAUUGGGCGUAAAGAGCUCGUAGGCGGUUUGUCGCGUCUGGUGUGAAAACUCGAGGCUCAACCUCGAGCUUGCAUCGGGUACGGGCAGACUAGAGUGCGGUAGGGGAGACUGGAAUUCCCGGUGUAGCGGUGGAAUGCGCAGAUAUCAGGAGGAACACCGAUGGCGAAGGCAGGUCUCUGGGCCGCAACUGACGCUGAGGAGCGAAAGCAUGGGGAGCGAACA
Molecule: ribosomal RNA, 407 nt
Filed under: uncultured bacterium
Lineage: Bacteria
Description: partial 16S ribosomal RNA
Rfam family: Bacterial small subunit ribosomal RNA
Source: RNAcentral